Molecule: ribosomal RNA, 588 nt
Filed under: uncultured bacterium
Lineage: Bacteria
Description: partial 16S ribosomal RNA
Rfam family: Bacterial small subunit ribosomal RNA
Source: RNAcentral
UGGGGAAUUUUAGACAAUGGGCGAAAGCCUGAUCCAGCAAUGCCGCGUGUGUGAAGAAGGCCUUCGGGUUGUAAAGCACUUUUGUCCGGAAAGAAAUCCUUGGCUCUAAUACAGUCGGGGGAUGACGGUACCGGAAGAAUAAGCACCGGCUAACUACGUGCCAGCAGCCGCGGUAAUACGUAGGGUGCAAGCGUUAAUCGGAAUUACUGGGCGUAAAGCGUGCGCAGGCGGUUUGCUAAGACCGAUGUGAAAUCCCCGGGCUCAACCUGGGAACUGCAUUGGUGACUGGCAGGCUAGAGUAUGGCAGAGGGGGGUAGAAUUCCACGUGUAGCAGUGAAAUGCGUAGAGAUGUGGAGGAAUACCGAUGGCGAAGGCAGCCCCCUGGGCCAAUACUGACGCUCAUGCACGAAAAGCGUGGGGGAGCAAAACAGGAUUAGAUACCCCUGGUAGUCCACGCCCUAAACGAUGUCAACUAGUUGUUGGGGAUUCAUUCCUUAGUAACGUAGCUAACGCGUGAAGUUGACCGCCUGGGGAGUACGGUCGCAAGAUUAAAACUCAAAUGAAUUGACGGGGUCAUAGCUGUUUCCU